RNAcentral lists this transfer RNA (136 nucleotides) under Oscillospiraceae bacterium. RNAcentral's name for it is "tRNA-OTHER". It matches the Rfam family "tRNA". From Rfam's summary of the family: Transfer RNA (tRNA) molecules are approximately 80 nucleotides in length. Their secondary structure includes four short double-helical elements and three loops (D, anti-codon, and T loops). Further hydrogen bonds mediate the characteristic L-shaped molecular structure. tRNAs have two regions of fundamental functional importance: the anti-codon, which is responsible for specific mRNA codon recognition, and the 3' end, to which the tRNAs corresponding amino acid is attached (by aminoacyl-tRNA synthetases). tRNAs cope with the degeneracy of the genetic code in two manners: having more than one tRNA (with a specific anti-codon) for a particular amino acid; and 'wobble' base-pairing, i.e. permitting non-standard base-pairing at the 3rd anti-codon position. The record is from RNAcentral. Lineage: Bacteria; Bacillati; Bacillota; Clostridia; Eubacteriales; Oscillospiraceae. RNAcentral also lists the same sequence under 1 other name.
GCCGGUGUAGCUCAGAAGCAGAGCGGCGGGGUGUCGUCUCCGUGGCACAUUGACGAUACGCAAGGCACAGAAUGAUUCGUCCAGUCAACGCAUCAGGGCGUGCUUUGUGGCGCAGGUGCAAGUCCUGCCAUCGGCA